GGGGAAUAUUGGACAAUGGGCGGAAGCCUGAUCCAGCCAUGCCGCGUGUGUGAAGAAGGCCUUUUGGUUGUAAAGCACUUUAAGCGAGGAGGAGGAGCUCUAGGCUAAUACCCUAGAAGCUUGGACGUUACUCGCAGAAUAAGCACCGGCUAACUCUGUGCCAGCAGCCGCGGUAAUACAGAGGGUGCAAGCGUUAAUCGGAUUUACUGGGCGUAAAGCGCGCGUAGGCGGCUAAUUAAGUCAAAUGUGAAAUCCCCGAGCUUAACUUGGGAAUUGCAUUCGAUACUGGUUAGCUAGAGUGUGGGAGAGGAUGGUAGAAUUCCAGGUGUAGCGGUGAAAUGCGUAGAGAUCUGGAGGAAUACCGAUGGCGAAGGCAGCCAUCUGGCCUAACACUGACGCUGAGGUGCGAAAGCAUGGGGAGCAAAC
RNAcentral lists this ribosomal RNA (426 nucleotides) under uncultured bacterium. Its description in RNAcentral is "bacterial SSU rRNA". It matches the Rfam family "Bacterial small subunit ribosomal RNA", at positions 356 to 773 of the family's 1533-position model. The record is from RNAcentral.